This 373-nucleotide ribosomal RNA is filed under the name Nematoda sp. RNAcentral describes it as "SSU rRNA". It matches the Rfam family "Eukaryotic small subunit ribosomal RNA", at positions 252 to 625 of the family's 1831-position model. The record is from RNAcentral. Lineage: Eukaryota; Metazoa; Nematoda.
CUGAAUAACUCAGCUGAUCGCACGGUCUUGCACCGGCGACGCAUCUUUCAAGUGUCUGCCUUAUCAACUGUUGAUGGUAGUUUAUGCGACUACCAUGGUUGUAACGGGUAACGGAGAAUAAGGGUUCGACUCCGGAGAGGGAGCCUGAGAAACGGCUACCACAUCCAAGGAAGGCAGCAGGCGCGUAAAUUACCCACUCUCGGCACGAGGAGGUAGUGACGAAAAAUAACGAGACGGUUCUCAUUGAGGCCCGUUAUCGGAAUGAGUACAAUCCAAACCCUUUAACAAGGAUCUAUCAGAGGGCAAGUCUGGUGCCAGCAGCCGCGGUAAUUCCAGCUCUGAAGGUGUAUACCACCGUUGUUGCGUUUAAAAC